CCCUUAGAUGUCCUGGGCUGCACGCGCGCUACACUGAUGUGUCCAGUAAGCACCUAACCUCUUCCGAAAGGAACGGGUAACCUUUGCAAAGCACAUCGUGAUGGGGAUAGAUUAUUGCAAUUAUUAGUCUUGAACGAGGAUUUCCUAGUAAGCACAAGUCAUCAGCUUGUGUUGAUUACGUCCCUGCCCUUUGUACACACCGCCCGUCGCUCCUACCGAUUGAAUGUUCCGGUGAGCUCUUCGGACUGCGCGGUCUGCAGUUUCUGCGUUCCGUGCGGAAAGUUGCGCAAACCUUAACAUUUAGAGGAAGGAGAAGUCGUAACA
This 324-nucleotide ribosomal RNA is filed under the name uncultured eukaryote. RNAcentral's name for it is "partial 18S ribosomal RNA". It matches the Rfam family "Eukaryotic small subunit ribosomal RNA", at positions 1470 to 1796 of the family's 1831-position model. The record is from RNAcentral.